GACAAUUGGGCUGCCAUCGAAUGGCCAGCAAGUCCUACCAUACCUCCUUACACCGUAGUGACCAUAGGACAAAAUAGGACCAAGACCAAUAGUGAAAAAGUGUCUUUUUAUUGAUAAUGAACAAUAAUAUACAGACUUCCGAUGAAUUAACUUGAUCUUUAUUGAAAGUAUUUCCGAAGCCUGCCAGCGUGCCAAGUGUUUUUGAUUUCGGAACCAUCUAAUGCCCUUAACCGGUAAGUGCCUGGUUUGGAUACUUCGAUCACCUCAUAUGGUCCUUCCCAGUUUGGCAUUAACUUUCCCGUAUUUUGAGGUGUAGAAGCUUCGGCUUCUCUGAGGACGAAGUCUCCUACUUCGAAUCUGCGAAGUUUGACUCCUUUGUUGUAAUGCUUCGCUACUCUUCGUUGAUAAGCAGCCAAUUUAAGUAGAGCAACCUCUCUAACUUCU
RNAcentral lists this long non-coding RNA (444 nucleotides) under Panax ginseng (ginseng). RNAcentral's name for it is "long non-coding RNA (PGIN_LNC012682)". Lineage: Eukaryota; Viridiplantae; Streptophyta; Magnoliopsida; Apiales; Araliaceae. The record is from RNAcentral.